Molecule: ribosomal RNA, 437 nt
Filed under: uncultured bacterium
Lineage: Bacteria
Description: partial 16S ribosomal RNA
Rfam family: Bacterial small subunit ribosomal RNA
Source: RNAcentral
AGCGAACGCUGGCGGCAGGCUUAACACAUGCAAGUCGAGCGGGCAUCCUUGUGGUGUCAGCGGCAGACGGGUGAGUAACGCGUGGGAACGUGCCCUUCGGUUCGGAAUAACUCAGGGAAACUUGAGCUAAUACCGGAUACGUGCGAGAGCAGAAAGGUUUAUCUGCCGAAGGAUCGGCCCGCGUCUGAUUAGCUAGUUGGUGAGGUUAUGGCUCACCAAGGCGACGAUCAGUAGCUGGUCUGAGAGGAUGAUCAGCCACACUGGGACUGAGACACGGCCCAGACUCCUACGGGAGGCAGCAGUGGGGAAUAUUGGACAAUGGGGGCAACCCUGAUCCAGCCAUGCCGCGUGAGUGAUGACGGUCUUAGGGUUGUAAAGCUCUUUUCUUCGGGACGAUAAUGACGGUACCGGAGGAAUAAGCCCCGGCUAACUUCGUG